UUGUACUAGUAAAUCCCAAGAGAAUACCAGUUUUUAGAUUAAACGCUCUUACGCUCCGUUAGUAUUUAUUUAUUUAGGUGCGCGGUCAGCGUAGUAGGGACGGUGAAUUCGCAGGGGUUAACCCGUAAAGUUAAUUAUAAGAGUUGAAAUGACACGGGUACCUUGUGUAAUAAUAAUACUUGAACUCCGAAUAAAAGAUAAAAGAAGUUGAUUCAACGCCCGCUGUUGGGACUGGAUCGAAAAUGCACGUUUACAAUCAUUUCGAGCGCAUAAUGUAUAGCUUCACUUAAUCAAUUUGCGAAAAAUUCAUAAUUUAUAGCAUCGAAAACUUCUACUGCACUAGUCAGAUAGUUACAGUAUGUAUAAGUAAUACGAAAUGAGUCGAACGCGAAUUUUUCAUUGCCCGUUUUUAGCACCGUGCAAUAUAAUGUAGUGCGCGGUAAAAGAUUUCUGGGUCAUA
This is a non-coding RNA of Cinara cedri, 460 nucleotides long. The record is from the annotation of a GenBank genome assembly. NCBI's taxonomy places the organism in Eukaryota, Metazoa, Arthropoda, Insecta, Hemiptera, Aphididae.